GGGAGAGUCAAAUUUGCAUGAGGACUUUUGAGAAAAAUCAAGGAUGCCUGAGGGGAUUUGAGUCCUACAGGCUCAGCACUUAUGAAAAAGGAUAAAGUCCUUCCCAGCCUGGCAGGAGAAGGAAAAGCCUGUGGUGGGGGAAGGGAGUGAAGGCGUGUGCCUCCUCAUGGAACACAGGGUCGGAGUCGGCUAGGAGGGAUAAGAGUACAAUAGAGGGUUGUGUGACACAGACAGGCUGCCAGCCCUCAGCAUGGACCCGGCACAUGGAAUCUGUGAUCUUAAAAGAGUCAAGUGACUACCUUUGGCAACCAAAAGAGACACUGCCUUUUAGAAGGCAUAUCAUCUGAAACUGGCUGAAAGAGCUGUCUUACUUAGGAAGAAAAAUCUCUCCUUUGGAAAGAGCUGGAACUUUUAGUAAAACUGAACAGUGAGGUGGCGGAAGAUAAAUAUGCUGAGGCAUGUUUUCAAGGAGGGGAGAGAGAUUCCUUUUCCUCAGCCGGGCACAGAGCCAACCUGAAGUGUAGCACUGUGGUGACCUGGCGGGAUCUGCUCUCCAGUCACUCCCGAGGGCCCUUCUGGGGACAAGGAGACUUUUCUGUGCGGCCUGUUGAUUUGAGUAGUAGAGAUGAUGUCUUGCCACAUUGCCCAGGCUGGUCUCAAACUCCAGGCCUAAAGGGAUCUUCUGACUUUGGCCUCCCAAAGUGCUGAGAUUAUAGGAUCGAGGCUAUCAAGCUACAGAUGAUCUUACAAAUGGAACCCCAAAUGAGCUCAACUAACAACUACCAAGGACCCCUGGACCAACCCGCUGGCCCUUUCAAUGGCCUAAAGAGUUCCCCUCUGGAGGACACUACAACUGCAGGGUCCUUUCUUUGCCCCUAUCCAGCAGGAAGUAGCUAGAGUGGUCAUCACCCAAUUCCCAACAGCAGUUGGGGUGUCUUGUUAAGUGGGGAGAUUGAGAGGUGAAGCCAGCUGGGCUUCUGGGUUGGGUGGGGACUUGGAGAACUUUUCUGUCUAGCUAGAGGAUUGUAAACACACCAAUCAGUGCUAUGUGUCUAGCUAGAGGUUUGUAAAUGCACCAAUCAGCACUCUGUAAAAACGGACCAAUCAGCACUCUGUAAAAUGGACCAAUCAGUAGGAUGCGGGCAGGGCCAAAUAAGGGAAUAAAAGCUGGCCACCUGAGUCAGCAGUGGCAACCCACUCGGGUCCCCUUCCAUGCUGUGGAAGCUUUGUUCUUUCACUCUUCACAAUAAAUCUUGCUGCUGCUCACUCUUUGGGUCCACACCACCUUUAUGAGCUGCAACACUCACUGCGAAGGUCUUCAGCUUCACUCCUGAAGUCAGCGAGACCACGAACCCAUGGGGAGGAACAAUCGACUUCAGACAUGCCACCUUUAAGAGCUGUAACACUCACUGCGAAGGUCUGUGGCUUCACUCCUGAAGUCAGCAAGACCACGAACCCACUGGAAGGAAGAAAUUUCGGACACAUCUGAACAUCUGAAUGAACAAACUCUGGACACGCCAUCUUUAAGAACUGUAACACUCACUGUGAGGGUUCAUGGGUUCAUUCUUGAAGUCAGCAAGACCAAGAACCCACCAGAAGGAACCAAUUCCGGACACAGACUCACUGCAACCUCCACCUCCUGGAUUCAAGUGAUUCUCCUGCCUCAGCCUCCGGAGUAGCUGUGCCUACAGGCACAAGCCACCACACACGGCUAAUUUUUUGUAUUUUUAGUAGAGAUGGGGUUUCACCAUGUUGCUCAGGCUGGUCUCCAACUCCUGAGCUCAAGUGAUCCACCUGUCUCGGCCUCCCAAAGUGUUGGGAUACAUGUGUGAGCCACUGUGCCCGGCCUCCUCUGGAUUAGUUCUUACAGGAAUAGAUUAGUUCUUGCUCGAGCAAGUUGUUAUAAAAGUGAGGUUGCCUCUAGUGUUUUGCAUCCUCACAUAUGUCUGCUUACCUCUUGACCUCUCUCUGUGUUAUGACCCAGCACAAAAGCCCUUACCAGAAGCCAAGCAGAUGCUGAUGCCACACCCCUUGGACUUCUCAGUCUACAGAGCCAUGAAACGAAUAAACCUCUCUUUAUAAAUU
Molecule: long non-coding RNA, 2085 nt
Filed under: Homo sapiens (human)
Lineage: Eukaryota; Metazoa; Chordata; Mammalia; Primates; Hominidae
Description: HSALNT0364805
Source: RNAcentral